RNAcentral lists this transfer RNA (81 nucleotides) under Sinorhizobium psoraleae. RNAcentral describes it as "tRNA-Ala". Lineage: Bacteria; Pseudomonadati; Pseudomonadota; Alphaproteobacteria; Hyphomicrobiales; Rhizobiaceae. The record is from RNAcentral.
CGUCGGGACCGGCGAGGAAGGCGACGACAUUGGCGAUGUCGUCCGGUUGGCCCAGCCGUUCGAGCGGCGGCAUCUUGGCGA